Pelobates cultripes (western spadefoot toad) is the source of this 1872-nucleotide non-coding RNA. NCBI's taxonomy places the organism in Eukaryota, Metazoa, Chordata, Amphibia, Anura, Pelobatidae. The record is from the annotation of a GenBank genome assembly.
CGCUACAACAGUGUACGCGUGCGUGUGGACAAAUCGAGCAUUAGUUCUGAUAAUACAAGUGUUGAUCAUGCGCGAUCCUGAAUACUCAAUAGUCGUCAAGCACCAUAUCGUUUAACAGGAAAAUGAAUACAAUAGUAACAUCGGUGCAUAAGAACGCAUUUACAGAACAGGUAAAAACUCUAGAUUGAAUAGCUUAGUAAAAACGUGGCAACGCUUCCUCUCUAAAUUAUAGUAUGCUGCUAUAGGUUGUCAGGAGAAAUAAGGCAGUAACAUCGUAGUAUCAACAGAAUUAAGACGGAUAUGAUGCAUGAAGUCCGAAUACAGGAGCAAUAUUAUUGAUUGACAUUUGGGACAUAAACUGUAAAGCUCAAUUCAAGGUCUCAUGCACACGUGUCAAUAUUAUGGUGCCAACACUGGGAUUCAGUUUCUAGUGCCUGAUGCAGUACAGAUCAGGGGGCGAUUCCUUGAAUCCAGGCUUCCACUCGGAGCCUCCCGUAGAAGUGAACCCCAGGGGAAAUUAUGAGGUCGGGGUUAGCCUAAUGGGUUGGGUCUGUUUGUGUGUCCCCUAGGUCGGGUAUGGGUUAUGUCUGUGUCUAGUCACCUUGAUGAAUUGUUAAUCUAUUGCUUAGCUCCUAUCCGCUCAGUAGUUAGUUAUGUCCUACCUCGAUGACAUGUUCUCCAUGCGUCAGAGCCUGUUCUGCCGCUGUCUUUCAGUCUUGUGUAAGUCGGAAGAUCGUGUCAGUAGAACUAUCUACACGUCAUGGUAAUAUCUUGUGCGUCAACGUGUUCGAGCCCUCCCGGUUCCGACCCCCUCGGCCGCAAGCCGCGCCGCCCCCGCAGUGUCCCUUAGUGAAGUUACACGUAAGCAGUAGUUGUAGCAGGUAUAAAAAGGGGGAAGGAGUAGGAGGAAAAGGAAGGGGGGUGUGGAAGGGUCUGUGAGCAGUUUACACCGGAGUGCGCCCGGGCAUCCCCAACCCCCGGGUGUCGCAGUGAGCUCGUGCCUCUCUAAGUUCUGGUACGGGAGAGAUAGACAUACCAUGGGGUCCAGAUGUCGACAUGUCUGGUGCUUCUCCCUAGUAGUUCUGCGUAUCGUGCCUCAGCUGUGUGUAUUUCCUCAACUCUCUGUAGCCAUUCUGCUACGGUUGGUGGGUGGAUCUGCUUCCACUUAGCUGGUAUAGACGCUUUCGCAGCAUUGAGCAGGUGUCUCAGUAUCGAUCUCUUAUAUUGGGCUAUCGAGCUUUCCGUAAAGUGUAGUAAGGCCAUUUCCAUGGUAAAUUCUGGUAAGUCACCCACGAUUGUCGUUAUCUCCCUCUUGAUGUCUUCCCAGUAUGGUUUGAUCCGCGCGCAGUCCCACCAGAUAUGUCGUAGGGUGCCUGUUUGGGAUUCGCAUCUCCAGCACGUAUCUGUCGUUCCCGGGAAUAUCCUGUGUAAUAGAGAUGGGGUUCUGUACCAGUGUGAGAGUAAUUUGAAGUUGACCUCCUGAUACCUUGUGCUUAUGGAGCUCUUGUGUUGUAAUAUUAAUAUCUGCUCCCAUUGCGCCUCUGUGUACGUCCUUGCCGUCAGUUCUUCCCAUUGCCUCUUAAAUGCAUUUUUACGUGUGCGAUCCCCUGUGAUCAACUGCUGGUAAAGGAUUGAUACUCUGCCGUCUGUGUCGGUGUUUGUCACGCAGAGGUGUUCGAACCACGUCUGUUCUCUGUGGAUCGCUUCACGGUUGGGAAGGUUGUAGUAGAAGUGCCGCAAUUGUGUGUAUCGAAAUCUGUGCAUCAGCGUGUGUUGUGUCGCCGUGCUCCAUUCUGGCAGGUUUCUCAUUCCUGUGUUGCUCAGGACCUUGGACAACGGGAUAUAAUCUCCGUCUCCAUCUAUCGGCCAGGC